AGUGCUUCUUGUCUUGCUCCUACAAGUGUGUGUGUCCACAUUUCGCGCCUCCACGGCCCGACGGAGGAAGUUUGGAAGGGAAACGUCGCAGUGCGUCAUCUCCAUCGGGUCGCCUGGCAGAACAACAAGCCUCGGAGAUAGGAACCAUGGAUCAGAACAGCGGCCUCCAAGUGGCCUAUGCAUUUGCGCGUGAAGCCGCAUCAAAAUCAACAUCAUUUCGGCGCUGUGCCAGAGAGCGUUGUCUAGCCUGUGGCGUCGUGCAAACAAGGACUCGCGUCAUGCCGAAGCUCGGAUAAAAAAGAUGCCAAGUGCUCAGCUCAGAAGAAAAAGACAUCGUUCGUGCUAUUGAACGGGACACCAAGAAGUCGGUGCUGGCCCGCGACAGGGAUCGACUGUUGACUACGGUGUGUGGCAUUUGGAACGCGAAGCAGUUCCUCGGCAGCGCUGCUGCGACCGCGGAGAUAUGUUGGCUACGAGGUCCGACUUUUCGCAUCGUUGCCAAAGUGUCGCCUAGCGACAGUGAUGAGGACGACACAGAAAGCGACAGCAAGGGCGAUUCAGGCCUGACAAUGGCAGAAGCUGCGCGUUAGGUCAGCCUCAUGAAUGCAAUUGUUGCGAUGGGAACAGCGCCCCGCAAUAAAGAAGGCGCCCCGCAGCAUCUGCAGCGCUACCACGUUUGUGCACGGAGAAUAUGCAACGCCAAGAAAGAAUCUGCCAUGCGAGUGUUUGCAGCGAAGAGGGGGCUGGCUAAAAAGCUGGCUUGCAGCUUCAGUAAGUUUGAGGCCGCGGUCGUCGAUGUUAGGUCGCCGCAGCAUCAAAGGAAAAUAGCACUUUUGUUGCGCGAAGUGAAUAAAUACUGCACGUUCUUUUCCCAU
Molecule: long non-coding RNA, 875 nt
Organism: Dermacentor andersoni
Lineage: Eukaryota; Metazoa; Arthropoda; Arachnida; Ixodida; Ixodidae
Source: RefSeq, a predicted model, not a curated record